CCUACGGGUAGCAGCAGUGAGGAAUAUUGGUCAAUGGACGAGAGUCUGAACCAGCCAAGUAGCGUGAAGGAUGACUGCCCUAUGGGUUGUACACUUCUUUUAUAUGGGAAUAAAAUGUUCCACGUGUGGGCUUUUGUACGUACCAUAUGAAUAAGGAUCGGCUAACUCCGGGCCAGCAGCAGCGUUAAUCCGGAGACUCCGAGCGUUAUCCGGAUGUAUUGGGUUUAAAGGGAGCGUAGGUGGAUUGUUAAUGCAGUUGUGAAAGUUUGCGGCUUAACCGUAAAAUUGCAGUUGAAACUGGCAGUCUUGAGUACAGUAGAGGUGGGCGGAAUUCGUGGUGUAGCGGUGAAAUGCUUAGAUAUCACGAAGAACUCCGAUUGCGAAGGCAGUUCACUGGACUGCAACUGACACUGAGGCUCGAAAGUGUGGGUAUCAAACAGGAGUAGAUACCCUUGUAGUC
This 460-nucleotide ribosomal RNA is filed under the name uncultured bacterium. Its description in RNAcentral is "partial 16S ribosomal RNA". It matches the Rfam family "Bacterial small subunit ribosomal RNA", at positions 338 to 795 of the family's 1533-position model. The record is from RNAcentral.